CGAUCCGCCUCGUCUCCCGGUCGCCGCUUCCGGUUUUCUGCACCCGGUUCGCCGCGACGACAUCCCCCACUACCUCCCCCACGUCCCCACGCCUAACCGCCCAGCUCCUGCGAAGCCCAAUACCCACCCCUCCCGGCGCCCAACCCCUCCGCGCCGUCGCUCUCCCGGCGCCGCUCCCCUCCACCGCCCAGCUCCCGUCCUGGCGCCGGACCCUCCCCGCGCUGUUGCUCUCCUCCCGGCCGCGCUCGCCUCCUCCGACGGUGCUCCCCCCCACCACGGCCACAUUUUUUUUGGCCAGCCCCCAGUCCCUCCCAGCGCCGCACCAACCUCCCGAUCCGGCAGCGGCGGAUGAGGGGGCGCACUGCGCCCAGCGACUGCGGCCCGCACGUCGCCCAUCGUCUUCUCCACCGCCGCAGAUUGAUGCCGAAAUCCACCCGCCGCAGAUCCGGCCGGGGCCGCUGCCACCCACGCCGCGCCUCCUUCCGGCUGCCGGAGCUUCACGCGUCGCCGAGUCACGCAGCAGCAGGUCAGGGCGCGACCUUACUGGCGAUAGGCAGCCCCACGAAAUCCGACGGCGGCCACACCCUCACGUCGAGACGGCGGCGCCAGCGCGUCGAGACGGCCCGGCAACCUUCCACGACAGCAGACGGCGGCCGCGGCCUGCGCGUAUCCCACGCCGCGCGGCCUUCCUGGCGAUAGCCGGCCCGAGACGGUGGCGCCAAGCCCACGAUCCUGCGAAGCGAACCCCGGCCAGGCGCCCAGGCCAGGUCAUGGACUCGGCUCUCUCUCUCUCUCUCUGUCUCUGUAGAGCGGAGCGGAGAUCGGCUCAGCACGUUGGAGUGGAGAAACGCAGCAGCACCUCAUCAUCCUGCUCAUCGUCGUCGAGCGUUGCUGCGUAUUGAUUACAAAUAGCUUUUUUUAGUCACGUGGUGUGUUGCUUUGGGUGCCUACCUGCUGCUUGUUUGAUGAAAUGUCCAGGCAAGCUAUGUUACGCCGAAAUAGAAGUUGCUAUUGCUUUUAAUUGAUGGACUUUGAUUGUUCUUGUUCCACUGUUAGGGUUCUGCAUAGGAUGCAAAAAUUGUGCCAAUUGGUUUUAGUUCCUUUUGCAUCGUUGACAGCUAGUAUUGUUUCUCCUUCGAGCAUAAAGCAUGGAUAUUUUUGUGUAGGGAAUAUGAGGUGUGAUCCCCUAUUAGUUGUGUGGCAUACAUGAGAUUUUCAUUAAGGCUUAGACCAAUUUUGACACAUGGUGUCUGUGCAUGGUGGCAGCGGCAUACAGCAGCGAGCGGCGGUGCCAAGGUGAGGUGGCCGCACUGAGGGGUUCUAAUGGUACCCAGGUAGGGGCUUUUGCAAUUUCCCUAAGACUGGCAGGAUGGUUCUCAUAAACUAAUUUGAACCAGCCCACAAGUAGAUUAUCUGGCUGGAUUUGGAGGCUGUGGCCCUUUCCGCGCCCCCGGCGACGCUUCUACCUGGCAUCCCGUCACUACUUUUUUCUCUACUUUUUUUUUGGCAAGAAGUUGGAUAGACUAAAAAACAUUUACUCUACUUUUUUUCUUUGGCAAGAACAUGAACUGAAAUUUUGCUAGGAUAUGUGUGAAUGGCUGAACGCUAUCAGAAAAGGAAUAUUGAAGUACUCUUUCUGACAUAGUAUCAACUCUUGGAUUAGUAUGAUGUUGGGCAUUUAUAUGCACGCCAAGAACAUCUGACAUAUCAUCACACCCCACAUGAACAAUUUAUGUUGCCACCAGAUUCCUACGACCUGACGCUGGCCUCGAGGUCCUCCACCUGCAGGUUUCGGCAGCAGCUCAUCCCUAAGUUUCCUCUGCUUAUACUGAACUUCAUGCUUUUUUCUUUUUGCAGACUUGUGCUUUUGAUGAUAAUGCUAGAUUAGCCAUAUGUUUUUGAUGGAUUAAUGUUCCAGUGCACAAUUCAUAUAAAAGUUGUAUGCAUAGGAGCCGGAUUGGAUGAUGGUGAUAGAUCACUGUAGAUGUGUGGUGGAUUAGGACUUUAGUGUUGCAGUGUUCAGUCUGUUCUCUUCGCAUUUUGUUCUGCUGUCAUGGAAUUUAAUUUCAAAUGUGGCACAAUGGCAUCAAACAUAUACUAUACUAGGGCCAUGAAUAGUUUAGCAAAUAAUGAUUGUUCACCGCAUAGGUAAUUCAGUAGCUAAUGCUAGAGUAAGGGCCAUGAACAGUUUAGCAAAUAAAAAUUGUUCACCACAUAGGUAAUUCAGUACCUAAUGCUAGAGUAGAUAUAUUGUGCAGCAGGUCAGCUGGAAUGAUUGCUUGCUGGAGUUGCUUGAUAGCAGGAGAUCGCACGUUCUGGUGCCUGGAGGAGUUGAUUUUUUGCUGUAAUGUUUUUUUUAGUUUAAUCUGCAGCUAGUACCAUUGAAUACUAGAUCAUAUGGCUUAUUUUGUACUUCUAUUAAGGACACUACAUUUUUUAACAUUAGGUGGCUUAUCACCCCACUCAAUCUUUGCAUACGAAGUAUCUUUGAGCUGAACUCUAGUCAUCUGCUCCAUUACACAUGGGAAUAUUUGCGACAGGUUUUUUAUGAUUCACUCAAUAUACAAGGUAGCUAGAUUUUUGCAUCUAUGCAUGUCAUUACUUGUGAGGAAGUAACAAAUUCCAAGAGUUCAGUUUUUUUUCACAUGUGACAUUAUCUGCGAAAAUGUUCUCUUGUUAUAUUGUUCCUAUUGCAGGCGGCAAUGACUAAGAUGAGGUCGCAAGGAAACUGCAAGAGUGGAUACACAAGCAUAGAUUGCAGAGCGAGCUCAGCAUGAUAUGUCUCUGACAACGAUGAUACUGUAUCAUUUAGGUGGACACAUUCAACAUUUUGUUUUCCUGAAACUUCAGUCUGCAAAUGGCAACGUGUACGGGUCAGAAGCUAGCUGAGUUGAAAUGAUUGAAGGUUGUUUUCCUGAAACUCAGCUAGGAGGCUGUUCGUAGACUGAAGUUUCAGUCUACAAAUGGCUACGUGUACGGCGAAAAUAAUUGUUUCCUGAUUUAUGAUGAGGUCAUACUUUUAUUGUU
This is a long non-coding RNA of Panicum virgatum (switchgrass), 3027 nucleotides long. RefSeq lists it as uncharacterized. Lineage: Eukaryota; Viridiplantae; Streptophyta; Magnoliopsida; Poales; Poaceae. The transcript has 2 exons. The record is from RefSeq and is a predicted model, not a curated record.